This 1719-nucleotide ribosomal RNA is filed under the name Triticum aestivum (bread wheat). RNAcentral's name for it is "partial small subunit ribosomal RNA". Lineage: Eukaryota; Viridiplantae; Streptophyta; Magnoliopsida; Poales; Poaceae. The record is from RNAcentral.
AUGACCGUGGAGCUUGGGCCGCCGGAUCGCCGGGUGAGGGACGAUAUGGUGAUUGGCCCCGUCCCUCCUCUGCGUCACAAUUUCCUCGCCAUCGCCGAAGCUGACAGAUUCAUCCCCUUCCACCGCAAGGCAACUCUCCGUCACAUCAUCGAAGGUUUGCUUCACGAAUCUGAGUUCUUUCCUACUGAAGCUGGUGAUCAUCCUCUGGGAGUUGGCAUCUUCGGUUUUUCGCACACGAUUGUGAGAGAUGCUGUAGUUGGAACCAAGUUUGAGAUUGAUGAGGAUGAGUUUGAUGAACAUGUUGUGAUAUCGUUCGUUCCUCACGAUGCUGCUCUUAAUAUGCGGAUUACUUCAUUUGGGCCAGAGAUUUGGUUGCUUUACAUAGGAUUCCCAUAUGAUUAUCAGACGCAACAUUACAUGCAUAAAUCAGUAGACAAGUUUGGUCAACUAGUUGAGUGGCACAAUCCACGUGGUGACCGUUGCUUUGUUUUGCUAAAAGUCAGAGUCAUCCACCUCAAAUUUGUCCCCAAGAGCUUGGUUAAGCGGCAGCUAGGAGGAGCGCGGCAGAGCUGGACUAUUGCUGUCACAAUGCUUCGCAUCAGUGACUGGAACACGCACAUCCCAGAUGUCCCGCCUGCUACUGAAGACCCAGCCCCUGAAAAUGGUCUCCCUCAUCCUCUUUAUGGAGACAAUCUCACUACUGAGCAAAUCUACCAGAUGCAACUCCAUAACUGGAUCGCUCAAAUUGCUGCUGCUAAUGUCAAUGAGGAUGCGGCAAAUGAAGUUGCUGCGCAGGAGGAUGCGGCCAAUGUUCAGUUUCAACCUCAGUGGGGAGUUUGGCCUCCUUCUCCUCCGCACUUACCUCCGGCAGUGUUCAACUUUCAGGCUUGGAUGGCAGAUGAGGGUCUGCAGGUUUACCAUGGUGUUCAUCCCAAUAACAAUUUGCAGGAUAGCCCGGCAGCGGCUUGGAAUGAUUCCAUCUCAAUCUUUAGUAGUUCUGACUCCAGUGCAACCUUGUCUAAUGGAUAUGCUUUGGUGCCACUAGACAUCUUCAGUCAGCUAAUUGCAGCCAAUGGCUCUUCUCUUGAUGUCUCGGCACUUGGAGCCUCAAGCUCAAAUGCCCCUGCUCAUCACACCCCUGCGUGCUCCCUGGCAGUACCUACCACAGAUAUAUCAAUGACCAUUUCAAAUGCUGGUUUACAUCUCCAGGUACAGUCACCUGAAAACACGUAUGCUUCUAUUCUGCUCAAUGAAUGUGUUCCAAUGUUGAGGCUGAAUACCUAUCUGAUAGCAGCUAUUCGGCCGAUCAUUGCUGCUUAUGGGCCCUGGAGUUCGGUUUUUGGAUUCCGUGAUAUUACAGUGCAGCUGAAUGUUAGUAUUUCUGAACAUGAGGAUCACUUCUCAGUUCUAUCGGCUACACGCACUGUCCAACACUCUGAAGAUUCAACUCAGGUCACUGAUGUCAUGCCUGGUAGCAGUACUUGGACUCUGACCCGUUCUGAAGGUUUUUACCAAUCAACACAUGAUUUAGCAAUUGUUCCAAACCCUCCUAAAUCUCAGGUGGUAAUCACAGAAAUCUUGGAUGAAAAUGACACAUCUGCUCAGGCUACAGAAUUACUUUCUGAACACUCUUUCAACACCUCCUCUGGUUCUGUGACCACUGGUUCUUCUGGCUCCUCUGGAAAGGCUGUGUCCUCUGAGACAGCAACAAUUAGGUGA